Molecule: long non-coding RNA, 1038 nt
Organism: Pistacia vera
Lineage: Eukaryota; Viridiplantae; Streptophyta; Magnoliopsida; Sapindales; Anacardiaceae
Exons: 2
Source: RefSeq, a predicted model, not a curated record
CAUGCCGCAGUGCAAGUUCUUCACGCUGCAACAUAUUUUGGCUUAUAUGCACAUUCUAUUCGUUGCGACGCUACAUCACAAGUUCCCAUGCCAUGGAAUAUUUCGACGUGAGAUGCACAGUGAAAUCGUUGUGGCACUACGUCUUGACUUAACGCAAAAAUUCAUUUCACACUGCUGCACAAAGUUUCGCGUCGUGCUGCAUUUCGGCAUUUUGCAACUUGCAAUGAAAAUCCAUGUCAUGCCGCGUCACAAAAUGUUGCAUCGUGAUGCAUUUUGAACAUUAUUCAAAACAGCGCCUAGAAAAACCAUGUCACGCCAUGGCGCAAAAGCUCAUGCUACGGCAGAACUAGUUUUCUAUAUAAGAAAACUAAUUUUUUUUCUCAUUUCAGUUCCAUUUUUUUUUUUUUUUGGACUGCGGUGCCAUUUCGACUCUCCCUCUCUCAAAUCUUUAUUGUUCUUCAAUUAUUUGAUGAAUUGAUGUUGUUAAAUCCUUCCCUACACCUUGUAAACACUCAUUUACACUUGAUUUUGCAGAAAUCCACCAAUUGACACUAAGGAGAAGUUAGGGUUGAAUUGGGGCUCUUCAAUUUGGAUAAAAAAUUCAGCAAUCCAAGGCUUCCAGACCUCUCAAUUGUGUUAAAAUUCAGGUGCAGAAUUGAUGAUUCGUACGUGUGCUAAUGUUCGAACCAUCAAGACUCGUUAGAGUGCGAAUGAAUCAAGACAUGAAGAAAGAAAAUUGGAACUUCAAAGUUGUGCUGCGGCAUAGAUUUACGGUGCCACGACACAAAUCGGGGAAACCCAUCGCGCACUGCAACGUGAUUCAUCGCACCAUGGCGCCAUUCGAGCAGAAUGAAAAAUAUGCAAUUUCCAACCCUAAUUUGCCUUUCCAAUUAUUAAAAAAAAUGCCCUUGUAAAAAACUAUAAAAGGGCAACUUAUUUCGUUUUUUAGGUAUUCUAACUUUGUAAACGUUUGGGCUAACUUGGAGAUGGGGUUUUUGAUAGGCAAGGAAUAAAACUUUGAUUUUUGUUGUGGAUUUA